GUGACUGCGUACCUUUUGUAUAAUGGGUCAGCGACUUAUAUUCUGUAGCAAGGUUAACCGUAUAGGGGAGCCGAAGGGAAACCGAGUCUUAACUGGGCGUUAAGUUGCAGGGUAUAGACCCGAAACCCGGUGAUCUAGCCAUGGGCAGGUUGAAGGUUGGGUAACACUAACUGGAGGACCGAACCGACUAAUGUUGAAAAAUUAGCGGAUGACUUGUGGCUGGGGGUGAAAGGCCAAUCAAACCGGGAGAUAGCUGGUUCUCCCCGAAAGCUAUUUAGGUAGCGCCUCGUGAACUCAUCUUCGGGGGUAGAGCACUGUUUCGGCUAGGGGGUCAUCCCGACUUACCAACCCGAUGCAAACUGCGAAUACCGAAGAAUGUUAUCACGGGAGACACACGGCGGGUGCUAACGUCCGUCGUGAAGAGGGAAACAACCCAGACCGCCAGCUAAGGUCCCAAAGUCAUGGUUAAGUGGGAAACGAUGUGGGAAGGCACAGACAGCCAGGAUGUUGGCUUAGAAGCAGCCAUCAUUUAAAGAAAGCGUAAUAGCUCACUGGUCGAGUCGGCCUGCGCGGAAGAUGUAACGGGGCUAAACCAUGCACCGAAGCUGCGGCAGCGACACUAUGUGUUGUUGGGUAGGGGAGCGUUCUGUAAGCCGUUGAAGGUGUAUCGUGAGGUAUGCUGGAGGUAUCAGAAGUGCGAAUGCUGACAUAAGUAACGAUAAUGCGGGUGAAAAACCCGCACGCCGGAAGACCAAGGGUUCCUGUCCAACGUUAAUCGGGGCAGGGUGAGUCGACCCCUAAGGCGAGGCCGAAAGGCGUAGUCGAUGGGAAACAGGUUAAUAUUCCUGUACUUGGUGUUACUGCGAAGGGGGGACGGAGAAGGCUAUGUUAGCCGGGCGACGGUUGUCCCGGUUUAAGCAUGUAGGCGGAGGUUCCAGGUAAAUCCGGUACCUUUUUAACGCUGAGGUGUGAUGACGAGGCACUACGGUGCUGAAGUAACAAAUGCCCUGCUUCCAGGAAAAGCCUCUAAGCAUCAGGUAACACGAAAUCGUACCCCAAACCGACACAGGUGGUCAGGUAGAGAAUACCAAGGCGCUUGAGAGAACUCGGGUGAAGGAACUAGGCAAAAUGGUGCCGUAACUUCGGGAGAAGGCACGCUGAUAUGUAGGUGAAGUGAUUUACUCAUGGAGCUGAAAUCAGUCGAAGAUACCAGCUGGCUGCAACUGUUUAUUAAAAACACAGCACUGUGCAAACACGAAAGUGGACGUAUACGGUGUGACGCCUGCCCGGUGCCGGAAGGUUAAUUGAUGGGGUUAUCCGUAAGGAGAAGCUCUUGAUCGAAGCCCCGGUAAACGGCGGCCGUAACUAUAACGGUCCUAAGGUAGCGAAAUUCCUUGUCGGGUAAGUUCCGACCUGCACGAAUGGCGUAAUGAUGGCCAGGCUGUCUCCACCCGAGACUCAGUGAAAUUGAACUCGCUGUGAAGAUGCAGUGUACCCGCGGCAAGACGGAAAGACCCCGUGAACCUUUACUAUAGCUUGACACUGAACACUGGUCCUUGAUGUGUAGGAUAGGUGGGAGGCUUUGAAGUGUGGACGCCAGUCUGCAUGGAGCCAUCCUUGAAAUACCACCCUUUAAUGGCUGGUGUUCUAACGUGGACCCGUUACCCGGGUUGCGGACAGUGUCUGGUGGGUAGUUUGACUGGGGCGGUCUCCUCCUAAAGAGUAACGGAGGAGCACGAAGGUUAGCUAAUCCUGGUCGGACAUCAGGAGGUUAGUGCAAAGGCAUAAGCUAGCUUGACUGCGAGAGUGACGGCUCGAGCAGGUGCGAAAGCAGGUCUUAGUGAUCCGGUGGUUCUGAAUGGAAGGGCCAUCGCUCAACGGAUAAAAGGUACUCCGGGGAUAACAGGCUGAUACCGCCCAAGAGUUCAUAUCGACGGCGGUGUUUGGCACCUCGAUGUCGGCUCAUCACAUCCUGGGGCUGAAGUAGGUCCCAAGGGUAUGGCUGUUCGCCAUUUAAAGUGGUACGCGAGCUGGGUUUAGAACGUCGUGAGACAGUUCGGUCCCUAUCUGCCGUGGGCGCUGGAGAAUUGAGGGGGGCUGCUCCUAGUACGAGAGGACCGGAGUGGACGCAUCACUGGUGUUCGGGUUGUCAUGCCAAUGGCAUUGCCCGGUAGCUAAAUGCGGAAGAGAUAAGUGCUGAAAGCAUCUAAGCACGAAACUUGCCCCGAGAUGAGUUCUCCCUGAGACUUUAAGUCUCCUGAAGGAACGUUGAAGACGAUGACGUUGAUAGGUCGGGUGUGUAAGUGUAGCGAUACAUUGAGCUAACCGAUAC
This 2332-nucleotide ribosomal RNA is filed under the name Citrobacter freundii RLS1. Its description in RNAcentral is "bacterial LSU rRNA". It matches the Rfam family "Bacterial large subunit ribosomal RNA", at positions 593 to 2901 of the family's 2925-position model. Lineage: Bacteria; Pseudomonadati; Pseudomonadota; Gammaproteobacteria; Enterobacterales; Enterobacteriaceae. The record is from RNAcentral.